AUUGAACGCUGGCGGCAUGCUUUACACAUGCAAGUCGAACGGCAGCGGGGGCUUCGGCCUGCCGGCGAGUGGCGAACGGGUGAGUAAUGCAUCGGAACGUGCCCAGUCAUGGGGGAUAACUACGCGAAAGCGUAGCUAAUACCGCAUACGCCCUGAGGGGGAAAGCGGGGGAUCGCAAGACCUCGCGUGAUUGGAGCGGCCGAUGUCGGAUUAGCUAGUUGGUGGGGUAAAGGCCUACCAAGGCGACGAUCCGUAGCGGGUCUGAGAGGAUGAUCCGCCACACUGGGACUGAGACACGGCCCAGACUCCUACGGGAGGCAGCAGUGGGGAAUUUUGGACAAUGGGGGCAACCCUGAUCCAGCCAUGCCGCGUGAGUGAAGAAGGCC
This 386-nucleotide ribosomal RNA is filed under the name uncultured bacterium. RNAcentral describes it as "bacterial SSU rRNA". It matches the Rfam family "Bacterial small subunit ribosomal RNA", at positions 28 to 416 of the family's 1533-position model. The record is from RNAcentral.